UUACACAUGCAAGUCGAACGGUAACAAGGUCUUCGGGAUGCUGACGAGUGGCGAACGGGUGAGUAAUACAUCGGAACGUGCCUAGUAGUGGGGGAUAACUACUCGAAAGAGUGGCUAAUACCGCAUGAGAUCUAUGGAUGAAAGCAGGGGGACCUUCGGGCCUUGUGCUACUAGAGCGGCCGAUGGCAGAUUAGGUAGUUGGUGGGAUAAAAGCUUACCAAGCCUACGAUCUGUAGCUGGUCUGAGAGGACGAUCAGCCACACUGGGACUGAGACACGGCCCAGACUCCUACGGGAGGCAGCAGUGGGGAAUUUUGGACAAUGGGCGCAAGCCUGAUCCAGCAAUGCCGCGUGCAGGAUGAAGGCCUUCGGGUUGUAAACUGCUUUUGUACGGAACGAAAAGUCUUGGGUUAAUAACCCUGGGAUCAUGACGGUACCGUAAGAAUAAGCACCGGCUAACUACGUGCCAGCAGCCGCGGUAAUACGUAGGGUGCAAGCGUUUAAUCGGAAUUACUG
RNAcentral lists this ribosomal RNA (515 nucleotides) under uncultured bacterium. RNAcentral describes it as "bacterial SSU rRNA". It matches the Rfam family "Bacterial small subunit ribosomal RNA", at positions 49 to 556 of the family's 1533-position model. The record is from RNAcentral.